Molecule: ribosomal RNA, 400 nt
Filed under: phytoplankton environmental sample
Lineage: Eukaryota
Description: partial small subunit ribosomal RNA
Rfam family: Eukaryotic small subunit ribosomal RNA
Source: RNAcentral
AGCUCCAAUAGCGUAUAUUAAAGUUGUUGCAGUUAAAAAGCUCGUAGUUGGAUUUCUGGUAGGAGCGACCGUGCCGAACUUGAUUGUUUGUGCAUUGUGUUGUCUUCAGCCAUCCUCGCGGAGAAGUUUUCCGGCAUUAAUUUGUCGGGAUUGGGACCCGCGUCGUUUACUGUGAAAAAAUUAGAGUGUUUAAAGCAGGCAAUCGCUUGAAUACAUUAGCAUGGAAUAAUAAGAUAGGACUUUGGUACUAUUUUGUUGGUUUGCAUACCAAAUUAAUGAUCAACAGGAACAGUUUGAGGAUAUUCGUAUGAACAUGUCAGAGGUGAAAUUCUUGGAUUUUGAUCAGACGAACUACUGCGAAAGCAUUUAUCAAGGAUGUUUUCAUUAAUCAAGAACGAAA